RNAcentral lists this unclassified non-coding RNA (245 nucleotides) under Hevea brasiliensis (rubber tree). Lineage: Eukaryota; Viridiplantae; Streptophyta; Magnoliopsida; Malpighiales; Euphorbiaceae. The record is from RNAcentral.
CAUUUCUUCUUUAUAAUAAUACACAUAUUCCCCUUAUACUCCCAUUAAUUACCGAAAGUCUUCACAUCACUCGAACGUUGAUAUGUAAAGAUGUACAAAGAACACCAAUGCAGCAAGAGUUGCAGAUUUCCCCCUUAUAUUUUUUUGGGAUGAUAUAGUUUUUUACAAUAUAAAUAAACCAGAGGCCCCUACAUUUUCUUUUCUUUUGGUACAUUGGGAGACUCAAAAUAAACAAGAGCCCCUAG